Molecule: long non-coding RNA, 1529 nt
Organism: Myotis brandtii (Brandt's bat)
Lineage: Eukaryota; Metazoa; Chordata; Mammalia; Chiroptera; Vespertilionidae
Exons: 3
Source: RefSeq, a predicted model, not a curated record
CUGGUUGACACUCUAUCAACUGAGCCAAACCUGCUAGAAGAUUCUUUAAAUUUAUAUGUUAUUUGCUGUGUUCUCCGUUCCGGCAGUUGACUGGUGGAGUUCAGGUGUUCUAAUGUAUGAACUAUUCACAGUCAAUGGGGAGAAGAAUUUCGGAGGUGAGCUCUCUAGGUAAGACUCCACAAAAUAAAAUGAAUGUGUUGUUACCAAAUUAGAAUUAAGCGGUUAAUUUUAAUUGAUAUAGGGUAUAUAUAGUUAUACCUUUAUGUUUCUUUAUGUUUUAUAUGCCCAGAUAGAUGUUAAGUUUCAUAGGGAGAGUGUCCUAAUUUUUGUGUGUUCCAAAGCAGUUAGCAUGGGGCAUGAGCUGCUGGCAGAGCCAUUUAGAAUGCGGGCCAUGGGGCCGUUUGGAAUGGGUGGCAUGGAAACAGUGGAAUGUUUGGUGCAGAGUCGGUGGGCGUGGAGUCGGUGGGUGUGGAGUCGGUUGUGUGUGGAGUCGGUGGGUGCAGAGUCGGUGUGUUAAGAGUCGGUGGACGUAGAGUCGUCGGUGAACUUAGAGUCGGUGAACUUAGAGUCGGUGAGCUUAGAGUCGGUGAGCGCGGAGUCGGUAAGUGCAGAGCCUUUUCAUGUGUAGGAAGGGACUGUGCCUGCCUCCCCCUCAGGGCUGUUGGGAAGAGUGAAUGUGGCGAAGACAGAGGGCACCUAGUGCAGAGCUGGGGAUGGGCAGAGAGACGGUGCCCAGGUGACUCCAGAGUCUGUGAGCAAACCCUUCCCGCUGCCAGGCUUUGAUCAGAACUGUGUCCACUGAUGGAAGGUCCAUGGCUUCCCUCCUACCAAGAAUCCUGGGUUCUGGGCCCUGUGGGAAAAUGAACACGAGAUGGAAAAGCAGCAGCUACCACUCACUCCCAGUCGUUAAAACCCAUGAGUGGGGCCAGCCUUGGAAAACUGCCCACCGAGAGAAACAGUCACAUCCCGUGUAUGCGUGUUCCCAGACUGUGAAGGCACUUGGGGGAGACUCAGCCCCCUAAGACACCCAGUGGUUCUGGGAGGCUCCUGGGGCGGGAGCAGAGAUGAGGGGAAAGAGCUGAACGGCUCCCCCGUGUGUGCUGGGCCCUGGGACAGGUGUAAGUCCAGCAGACUCCUCCCAUGAGGGGGCCUGCGAGGGGCCAGCCAUGGCGUCCCACACUCAGCAUGUGCCUGACACCCAGAGGCCCAUAGUAUUGUUUGUUAUGCCUUAGCCCUCAUUUCCAGGAAACUGCCGAGAGCUGCCGAGAGCUGUUGGUUUUCCAAGAGGACGUGUGUAAACUGUUCAGAUAGGAACUGUGUGUUGAACAAAAGCUCACCCAUAGCCAUUUAUUUCCAGGACCCAGAUCAGUGAAGUGACUGUGGAAUUGAGAGGCCUGGACUCAGCCCUCUAACCCGGGAUAGACUCUUAGCCCCACUCCUUCCUUGUUAAGGAAACAGCUCAGUGAAGCCCCACACCUGUCAGCAGGUGCACUCGUCCAAUAGACAAGGAUGUCCAUGUCAGACACACU